This 160-nucleotide ribosomal RNA is filed under the name uncultured bacterium. Its description in RNAcentral is "partial 16S ribosomal RNA". The record is from RNAcentral.
CACAGAGUUAGCCGGUGCUUAUUCUGUCGGUAACGUCAAAACAAUCACGUAUUAGGUAACUGCCCUUCCUCCCAACUUAAAGUGCUUUACAAUCCGAAGACCUUCUUCACACACGCGGCAUGGCUGGAUCAGGCUUGCGCCCAUUGUCCAAUAUUCCCCA